Molecule: ribosomal RNA, 309 nt
Filed under: uncultured bacterium
Lineage: Bacteria
Description: partial 16S ribosomal RNA
Rfam family: Bacterial small subunit ribosomal RNA
Source: RNAcentral
AGAGACAGCAGUCGCCGCGGGAAUACGUAGGUCCCGAGCGUUGUCCAGAUUUAUUGGGCGUAAAGCGAGCGCAGGCGGUUAGAUAAGUCUGAAGUUAAAGGCUGUGGCUUAACCAUAGUACGCUUUGGAAACUGUUUAACUUGAGCGCAAGAGGGGAGAGUGGAAUUCCAUGUGUAGCGGUGAAAUGCGUAGAUAUAUGGAGGAACACCGGUGGCGAAAGCGGCUCUCUGGCUUGUAACUGGCGCUGAGGCUCGAAAGCGUGGGGAGCAAACAGGAUUAGAGACCCCUGUAGUCCCUGUCUCUUAUACA